Non-coding RNA from Podarcis lilfordi (Lilford's wall lizard), 70 nucleotides. Lineage: Eukaryota; Metazoa; Chordata; Lepidosauria; Squamata; Lacertidae. The record is from the annotation of a GenBank genome assembly.
GUCAUAGCUCAGUGGUAGAACAUCUGCUUUGCAUGUCAGAAGGUCCCUGGUUCAAUCCCCAGUAUCUCCA